Molecule: long non-coding RNA, 125 nt
Organism: Anopheles funestus (African malaria mosquito)
Lineage: Eukaryota; Metazoa; Arthropoda; Insecta; Diptera; Culicidae
Exons: 3
Source: RefSeq, a predicted model, not a curated record
UGGUAUAAGUUAGGUUUUUUCGAAAAAGUUAGUUUUGGUAAAAGUUAGGUUUUUUAGAAAAAGUUAGGUUUUUUCGAAAAAGUUAAUUUUGGUAUAAGUUAGGUUUUUUCAAAAAAGUUAGUUUU